CAUUCUAUAAAUAUGAGUUCCUCCUAUAUGCUAGUUUUGGGGAACAUAAAAAUAGAUGUAGAAAUACGAUCUUUGCUCUCUGUGGUAGUAGAGAAUAAUAGCUUAAUUUGGAUUAAUCAUUCUGAGGAGCUUUUUGCUUUUAUACUUAAAUUUUAUCUGUGAGUUUUGCCAAGUUGGUAAGUUUUUUUGUUUUUUCUUUUGCCAGGGGAAAUCUUAAGACUUUAGUGUUCUUGCAAUUUUAGAGCCUUUAGGAGCUUUCUGAUAACGUGGCAGGAAUCAGAAUGUUUUAGCCUUAACAGUCUUACAGUAUUAUUACUUUUGAGUUGUUUGAAUUUCUAGAACUGAAGUGACAAUAAUCUUGUAUUAUGUCUUUCCCUUUUGUUUCUCUAAAGGUCUCCCAGGCUCUGUAGUUCAUUCCUUUAUACCUUCCCUUUCAGAAUGCCAGUGGUUUUAGUCACCAGUCAUGUCAUCCUGAUUAUGACAUAAGCUCUGCUGGUUAAAUAACAGUUUUAUGAGUUACAGCCCACUUAGUAAUGUCCCUGUUUAUUGCAUUUAUAUUUUGUGUCCAAGGAGUUAUUCCUUGUGCCUUGAUACUUUCAUGAAAUCUUUUAAGUGCCAAUAACAAAUUCUAGACCAUCUAGAUGAAAUGAGAUAGAACUUGUGUGCUGUUUUUAUACAUCACUGUUGAUUAAGGUUUGAGUUAUCAGAAGAUUUAGUUUUAUUUGCAUAUAGAUUCUUGAUUUCAUUAGAAAGAUGGCACAGAACAGAUAGCUUUUCUUAAACUACUGGUUUCUGAAUGUUUCUGUUGUCUUAGAGUCAGG
Molecule: long non-coding RNA, 821 nt
Filed under: Marmota monax (woodchuck)
Lineage: Eukaryota; Metazoa; Chordata; Mammalia; Rodentia; Sciuridae
Source: RNAcentral